ACCCUGAUGCAGCCAUGCCGCGUGUGUGAAGAAGGCCUUCGGGUUGUAAAGCACUUUCAGUAGGGAGGAAAGGGUGAGUCUUAAUACGGCUCAUCUGUGACGUUACCUACAGAAGAAGGACCAGCUAACUCCGUGCCAGCAGCCGCGGUAAUACGGAGGGUCCGAGCGUUAAUCGGAAUUACUGGGCGUAAAGCGUGCGCAGGCGGUUUGUUAAGCGAGAUGUGAAAGCCCUGGGCUCAACCUAGGAAUAGCAUUUCGAACUGGCGAACUAGAGUCUUGUAGAGGGGGGUAGAAUUCCAGGUGUAGCGGUGAAAUGCGUAGAGAUCUGGAGGAAUACCGGUGGCGAAGGCGGCCCCCUGGACAAAGACUGACGCUCAUGCACGAAAGCGUGGGGAGCAAACAGGAUUAGAUACCCUGGUAGUCCACGCCGUAAACGAUGUCUACUCGGAGUUUGGUGUCUUGAACACUGGGCUCUCAAGCUAACGCAUUAAGUAGACCGCCUGGGGAGUACGGCCGCAAGGUUAAAACUCAAAUGAAUUGACGGGGGCCCGCACAAGCGGUGGAGCAUGUGGUUUAAUUCGAUGCAACGCGAAGAACCUUACCUACUCUUGACAUCCACGGAAGAGACCAGAGAUGGACUUGUGCCUUCGGGAACCGUGAGACAGGUGCUGCAUGGCUGUCGUCAGCUCGUGUUG
This 695-nucleotide ribosomal RNA is filed under the name uncultured Shewanella sp. Its description in RNAcentral is "bacterial SSU rRNA". It matches the Rfam family "Bacterial small subunit ribosomal RNA", at positions 380 to 1067 of the family's 1533-position model. Lineage: Bacteria; Pseudomonadati; Pseudomonadota; Gammaproteobacteria; Alteromonadales; Shewanellaceae. The record is from RNAcentral.